UCCUUUUUAGUAAGUUUUCCCUGGUUCUACCUUUUGGCUCUGGGUCUUACUCUCUCCUCAAAGUCUGCAGGGGCAAGAGUGCCACUGAUUCCUACAUCUCUGAAUUGGAUUUCCAUCGCCUACCAACUCUGAUCUCUGGGAAGCUAUACAUGCUGAGAAACUCUGAUGGAGAUUGCCGGGCUCUUUGUAGUUGGCUAUCCUCUUCUUCCUGAGCAUACUGGGAGACCUCUCAGACUUUCUUGCAGUAUUACAAAGACACAAGUUCUCAUAUAUCCAACACCAUUUUGAGGAGGAAAAGAAAACUCCAAAAGACUGUUU
Molecule: long non-coding RNA, 318 nt
Organism: Nyctereutes procyonoides (raccoon dog)
Lineage: Eukaryota; Metazoa; Chordata; Mammalia; Carnivora; Canidae
Exons: 3
Source: RefSeq, a predicted model, not a curated record